CAGUAGCCGCGGUAAUACGGAGGGUGCAAGCGUUAAUCGGAAUUACUGGGCGUAAAGCGCACGCAGGCGGUUUGUUAAGUCAGAUGUGAAAUCCCCGAGCUUAACUUGGGAACUGCAUCUGAAACUGGCAAGCUAGAGUCUUGUAGAGGGGGGUAGAAUUCCAGGUGUAGCGGUGAAAUGCGUAGAGAUCUGGAGGAAUACCGGUGGCGAAGGCGGCCCCCUGGACAAAGACUGACGCUCAUGCACGAAAGCGUGGGGAGCAAACAGGAUUAGAUACCCCGGUAGUCCCUGUCUCUUAUAC
This 301-nucleotide ribosomal RNA is filed under the name uncultured bacterium. Its description in RNAcentral is "partial 16S ribosomal RNA". It matches the Rfam family "Bacterial small subunit ribosomal RNA", at positions 509 to 807 of the family's 1533-position model. The record is from RNAcentral.